GACGAACGCUGGCGGCGUGCUUAACACAUGCAAGUCGAACGGAAAGGCCCUGCUUUUGUGGGGUGCUCGAGUGGCGAACGGGUGAGUAACACGUGAGUAACCUGCCCUUGACUUUGGGAUAACUUCAGGAAACUGGGGCUAAUACCGGAUAGGAGCUCCUGCUGCAUGGUGGGGGUUGGAAAGUUUCGGCGGUUGGGGAUGGACUCGCGGCUUAUCAGCCUGUUGGUGGGGUAGUGGCUUACCAAGGCUUUGACGGGUAGCCGGCCUGAGAGGGUGACCGGCCACAUUGGGACUGAGAUACGGCCCAGACUCCUACGGGAGGCAGCAGUGGGGAAUAUUGCACAAUGGGCGGAAGCCUGAUGCAGCAACGCCGCGUGCGGGAUGACGGCCUUCGUGUUGUAAACCGCUUUCGCCUGUGACGAAGCGUGAGUGACGGUAAUGGGUAAAGAAGCACCGGCUAACUACGUG
Molecule: ribosomal RNA, 468 nt
Filed under: uncultured bacterium
Lineage: Bacteria
Description: partial 16S ribosomal RNA
Rfam family: Bacterial small subunit ribosomal RNA
Source: RNAcentral